GGGAGCUUGCUCUGUGGGAUCAGUGGCGAACGGGUGAGUAACACGUGAGCAACCUGCCCCUGACUCUGGGAUAAGCGCUGGAAACGGCGUCUAAUACUGGAUAUGUGACGUGACCGCAUGGUCUGCGUCUGGAAAGAAUUUCGGUUGGGGAUGGGCUCGCGGCCUAUCAGCUUGUUGGUGAGGUAAUGGCUCACCAAGGCGUCGACGGGUAGCCGGCCUGAGAGGGUGACCGGCCACACUGGGACUGAGACACGGCCCAGACUCCUACGGGAGGCAGCAGUGGGGAAUAUUGCACAAUGGGCGCAAGCCUGAUGCAGCAACGCCGCGUGAGGGACGACGGCCUUCGGGUUGUAAACCUCUUUUAGCAGGGAAGAAGCGAAAGUGACGGUACCUGCAGAAAAAGCGCCGGCUAACUACGUGCCAGCAGCCGCGGUAAUACGUAGGGCGCAAGCGUUAUCCGGAAUUAUUGGGCGUAAAGAGCUCGUAGGCGGUUUGUCGCGUCUGCUGUGAAAUCCGGAGGCUCAACCUCCGGCCUGCAGUGGGUACGGGCAGACUAGAGUGCGGUAGGGGAGAUUGGAAUUCCUGGUGUAGCGGUGGAAUGCGCAGAUAUCAGGAGGAACACCGAUGGCGAAGGCAGAUCUCUGGGCCGUAACUGACGCUGAGGAGCGAAAGGGUGGGGAGCAAACAGGCUUAGAUACCCUGGUAGUCCACCCCGUAAACGUUGGGAACUAGUUGUGGGGUCCAUUCCACGGAUUCCGUGACGCAGCUAACGCAUUAAGUUCCCCGCCUGGGGAGUACGGCCGCAAGGCUAAAACUCAAAGGAAUUGACGGGGACCCGCACAAGCGGCGGAGCAUGCGGAUUAAUUCGAUGCAACGCGAAGAACCUUACCAAGGCUUGACAUAUACGAGAACGGGCCAGAAAUGGUCAACUCUUUGGACACUCGUAAACAGGUGGUGCAUGGUUGUCGUCAGCUCGUGUCGUGAGAUGUUGGGUUAAGUCCCGCAACGAGCGCAACCCUCGUUCUAUGUUGCCAGCACGUAAUGGUGGGAACUCAUGGGAUACUGCCGGGGUCAACUCGGAGGAAGGUGGGGAUGACGUCAAAUCAUCAUGCCCCUUAUGUCUUGGGCUUCACGCAUGCUACAAUGGCCGGUACAAAGGGCUGCAAUACCGCGAGGUGGAGCGAAUCCCAAAAAGCCGGUCCCAGUUCGGAUUGAGGUCUGCAACUCGACCUCAUGAAGUCGGAGUCGCUAGUAAUCGCAGAUCAGCAACGCUGCGGUGAAUACGUUCCCGGGUCUUGUACACACCGCCCGUCAAGUCAUGAAAGUCGGUAAC
Molecule: ribosomal RNA, 1333 nt
Filed under: Microbacterium sp. M_28
Lineage: Bacteria; Bacillati; Actinomycetota; Actinomycetes; Micrococcales; Microbacteriaceae
Description: bacterial SSU rRNA
Rfam family: Bacterial small subunit ribosomal RNA
Source: RNAcentral